RNAcentral lists this ribosomal RNA (492 nucleotides) under uncultured bacterium. Its description in RNAcentral is "partial 16S ribosomal RNA". It matches the Rfam family "Bacterial small subunit ribosomal RNA", at positions 30 to 507 of the family's 1533-position model. The record is from RNAcentral.
AGUGAACGCUGGCGGUAGGCCUAACACAUGCAAGUCGAACGGCAGCACAGUAAGAGCUUGCUCUUACGGGUGGCGAGUGGCGGACGGGUGAGGAAUACAUCGGAAUCUACUUUUUCGUGGGGGAUAACGUAGGGAAACUUACGCUAAUACCGCAUACGACCUACGGGUGAAAGCAGGGGAUCUUCGGACCUUGCGCGAUUGAAUGAGCCGAUGUCGGAUUAGCUAGUUGGCGGGGUAAAGGCCCACCAAGGCGACGAUCCGUAGCUGGUCUGAGAGGAUGAGCAGGCACAAGGGAAGAGAGAUAGGGAGAAGAGAACAAAGGGAAGGAGCAGAGGGGAAGAUGGGAAAAGGGGGGAAAGGAUGAAAAAGCAAAGACGGGGGAGAGAAAAAGGACUGAGGGUUGUAAAGACCUUUUGGUGGGAAAGAAAAAAAGAAGGAUAAAAAACCGCGGGAAUGACGGGACCGAAAGAAAAAGGAACGGCUAACUACGUG